CAGUGCUCUAGUCACUUCACGCAUUUACCGCAUCUACACGCGCAGCUCAUCUUCUUGAACAAUCCAUCUCCCCACCCACCCACCGACCAGAGUCCCAAGAAGAACAAGAAGGCGAUCUAGCAGGGAGAAUGCCAUGGCCGCGCACGGGAGCUCACCCACCCUCCAGUUAGCGGUCAGCAUUUAGGUUUUUGCCUAUCAGCGAUUUGUUCAGCAAGAAGCCGCCGCCAAAAAAGUUCAUGGUGUUUGUCGGAAUGGAUAAUCAUUUUGCCGCGGAGGGAUCAGCAAGAGUUAUGAAUCAAGAUACAGUGAGCGAGGUUUCCCCGGAUGACUUAGAUAGCGAUGGCGAUUGUUCUGGCGGAUCCAGUGGUGUGGCAGGGACACCAUCAAUUACGUCUAGGCUCUCGUUGUUGAAGUUAGGCUCUGUUAUUUCCAAGUUUUCGGACUUCAAGAAACAACUAGUCAGAGAAACAGGUUUUGAUGGUUUGCUUCAGAUUAAGUCAUGGCAAAAAAUCAAUCUUAAGUACAGCACUUACCUCAUGGAUAGAGUCGAUGUUGACAGCAGCGUGAUCAACUUGGAAGGCCAGGGCAUGCUUGAGCUUACAGACAAGUCAGUUCACUCUGUUUUUGCAAUUCCAUGCGGUGAGCUAGCAAUUGGACCUGAAGGUGUCGAACCAUCCGAAGCUUGCAUUGAGUAUACACGUUUUGCAGCUAGCAUCAAUGACAAAGGUACACACAGCUUGAAAGCAGCAGAGGCAUACCUGCUACGGGACAUCACAGCCCAGUCCAGACAGAUUGAUAUCCAGUGUUUCAAAAUUGCAUUCGUCAUCUUUGUAGUUGGCCAUGUUCUUGCCCCAUCAGCCAAGCAUGAUUACAUAACAAUAGAUUUCUGGGCUGCCCUGAAUGAUGUUAGCAAAAUCAGAAAAUGGAACUGGUGCAGCUACCUUCUGAAGCACCUGUUCCAUGCUGUCAGGAAAUUCAAAUCAGAUGUCUCUAAGCGAAACCCAACCAUUCACAUUGUCGGAUGCCAUUUGUUCCUACAGCCUAGACCUUGGUCAAAUGAACAAGCCACACAGAAUGCAUCCAAGGAUAGCACUUUUCGAGUAUGAGUCCAUGAAGAAGAUGAUUGAGAUCAUAGCGGUCAACAUGGGAGGAGGUGAAAUAUCAUACCACGGCGCCUCGGCUAGGUCUGAACAAAACAUCAGCAAGGGCCUCGUCUGCGCAUCCACUGAUCCUGCAGACGAAAACAUUCCAAGGACAUCUACCAUGACCAAACGAGUCCAGAUGCCCUCCGCGCCUAUUUUAAGAGCUACCUACGCCAAAAUUGGACCCCAAGAUUUCUCAAACCAUCUACGGACAAACCACCCAUCAAUAUCCAGCGAGAAGCUUGGGAUACUCCUCCGAGAGCACAAUGCGCGUGGGUUGGCCAACAUUUCGGAGAUGAGGCAGGCUUUUCUGAAUGUGUGUUAUAUCGACUAGAGGGGGGGUGAAUAGGCGAUUUUUAUGAAUUCUUCACUGAGGAAUUUGCCGGUAGCUCAUCUGCCAAUAGCUCAAUUGCACGGAAGAGGGGGGUUGUGUUCAGCCCGUCCAUCCAGGGGGAAUCAUCGAAGAAGGUCUGUGUGCGACUGGACGACCCACUCCAAACUAUUAGCCCUUCAGCUGUCGAUACUAUCAACAACUCAUCUUUGUCAGCAAAGCAAGAUAGUCGCCGUGAGGUUGCCGAUAGUAUAUAUGCAUUCUUUGACGACCUGACUGCUAGCAUUGUUACAUACUAUGCUGAGCAACGCCCGAGCUCUGGAUAUGUGACAUUCGGAACAACGAACGACAGCGUGCCAGCCAAAAUUCGGAUUACUAAAUGCAACAUCACCCGUGACCCAUGGGCAAUUGGGUCAGUCCCUUUGCCUCCGGCAGCUCCAGUUCUCAGGGCCAUAAAAGAUUGGUUUGCUGGGUCAGCCACUCUUAUUCUUGAAAGGAAAUGGAUUAUGCAUCCGAAGCCGAGACUCAUAUUACUUGAUGGCAUUGAAAUCAAGCAACAACUAUCAGGCAAAGAACAGCUUAGCCAUGAGAUGUGUGCUGCUAUCUUUAGGAGACUGUCACAGAUGGACAAGAGCUUCACGAAGGACACAUUGACCAUGUUUUGGAGGAAGUUUCUAGAGCCCGACUUCGCUACUGCGGUUUUGUCAAAUGCGGAUCCAUUGACGAUCCAGUCAAUCCGUGCAACAUUUACCGAAGAAAACGAGAUUUUCAGCCCAGCCUCUAGCCGGAUGUGGCAUAUCCCUGCAUUGCUGCCCGACGGCUGGUCCGUCUACUCAUUUGACAUGCUCAGAAGAAGGAUUGCAGUACUUGACCCGGCAGUUGGACCAUUUGGGUUUAGCAACCGAAGGAUCAACAUGCACACAUACGUAUCUGACUUGCUACACGCUGCCCUCUUCAGAUGCAUCCAAUCCCUGUAUGAUUCCUGGCAUUGCAGUUCCGGAGAAUGGACCCGGGCAUUUCCUGUUAUCAUGGUAGAGAACAUUGAUAAGGAGGACUACGGUGUGUGCUCUUCGUUCUUCGCCAGGAAUUAUGAUGGCGACAAACUGCAGAUCCCACUAACCAAAGCAAACCUGGAGAUACAUAGGAACCUGAUGUUGUACGAGGUUAUGCGCCUUUAGGGCAAUGAAUCGCCAGUGCCUUCUGAUGCACUUGAAGCUAUCAAGGGAUCAUUCGUAGCUCUGUGACCAGCCUGUCUAUGCUUAUGUCAUGUACAUCGACUCACCCGCCGCCACCAAUCUAUCUUUAAGAAUACUAGCUAUCCGCAAGAUGUUUUAAGUGGUCCCUUAAGCACUAGCAAGUUAUGUUUUUUGCUAGAUGCAGUCUUGUUGUCAAACAAAAUUUGAGAGGCACGUUGUUUCUAAAUUUGGACGCUGCCAAUUCAAAUUGUAUCAGCCCAUUUGUCCUUAAGGGAUGCCCCCAUCUGUUUAAAUGGGAAACCAUAUGUUUCUAUGAUCGGAAAAAUAACAUCUUUGUUUGGUUAGGAGUGAAAUCCUUCCAUUAGACAA
Molecule: long non-coding RNA, 3038 nt
Organism: Triticum aestivum (bread wheat)
Lineage: Eukaryota; Viridiplantae; Streptophyta; Magnoliopsida; Poales; Poaceae
Exons: 11
Source: RefSeq, a predicted model, not a curated record